Molecule: unclassified non-coding RNA, 240 nt
Filed under: soil metagenome
Description: partial contains 5.8S ribosomal RNA, internal transcribed spacer 2, and large subunit ribosomal RNA
Source: RNAcentral
AACCUUAUGGACCUGCGGGCGUAUACCUGCGGAAGGAUCAUUACAGAGUUGCAAGACUCCCUAAACCAUUGUGAACCUACCUUCUACCGUUGCUUCGGCGGGCGGGCCCAGCGCCCCCCCCGGCCCCCCGCGGGCGCCCGCCGGAGGAUACCCAAACUCUUGACAUUAGUGGCCUCUCUGAGUAUUCUUUACUGAAUAAGUCAAAACUUUUAACAAUGGAUCUCAGAUCGGAAGAGCACA